ACAAUGACUGUUGCCAAAACAGCGACAAGUUUUUUGCUUGUAAGGGCGGAAAAACAAGAUAUCUGUCAAAAACAUCGAGCCAAAGCGUAUCAGAUACAGGUGGAGAAAUGUACCGUUUUCAACAGACUUUAUAAUAGUGAUUUGUUCAAAACAUGACCGCUUCUUAUACUAGAAAUAUUUUUUACUAUUUUACAUUUUAAUUAUCACAUUAUCAGUGAUUUGUUCUAAACAAUACUGUUGCAGUUGCUACUCGAAUGUUAAUGUAUAUACAUUAUUUAUGACAAAAUAAAGCAAUGUUAAUCCUGUUAUUAAUUUCUUUCAUUUUUUCUCUAAAAACAAGAAAAACAACUGUUCAGAGUAUCGUUAAAGUACCGGAUCAAUAAGCAGUAUUGGCAAGAGUAGUAAAUAUAAGAAUCGGAACCAAAACAACUUGAUCGGGACGUCCCCAGAUUGUUUCCUCUGCGUGUGUGCGUUUUAACAGCCAAUAAGAGGAGGUGAGUUGAUGUCUACCUGAGGAAUGAUGGACAUCUUCUGGCGCGG
This is a long non-coding RNA of Sebastes umbrosus (honeycomb rockfish), 540 nucleotides long. RefSeq lists it as uncharacterized. The transcript is spliced from 3 exons. The record is from RefSeq and is a predicted model, not a curated record. NCBI's taxonomy places the organism in Eukaryota, Metazoa, Chordata, Actinopteri, Perciformes, Sebastidae.